Molecule: ribosomal RNA, 474 nt
Filed under: uncultured bacterium
Lineage: Bacteria
Description: bacterial SSU rRNA
Rfam family: Bacterial small subunit ribosomal RNA
Source: RNAcentral
CGCUAUCACUCCUACGGGGAGGCAGCAGUAGGGAAUCUUCCACAAUGGGCGCAAGCCUGAUGGAGCAACACCGCGUGAGUGAAGAAGGGUUUCGGUUCGUAAAGCUCUGUUGUUAAAGAAGAACACGUAUGAGAGUAACUGUUCAUACGUUGACGGUAUUUAACCAGAAAGUCACGGCUAACUACGUGCCAGCAGCCGCGGUAAUACGUAGGUGGCAAGCGUUAUCCGGAUUUAUUGGGCGUAAAGAGAGUGCAGGCGGUUUUCUAAGUCUGAUGUGAAAGCCUUCGGCUUAACCGGAGAAGUGCAUCGGAAACUGGAUAACUUGAGUGCAGAAGAGGGUAGUGGAACUCCAUGUGUAGCGGUGGAAUGCGUAGAUAUAUGGAAGAACACCAGUGGCGAAGGCGGCUACCUGGUCUGCAACUGACGCUGAGACUCGAAAGCAUGGGUAGCGAACAGGAUUAGAUACCCUGGUAG